UCCACUGUUGUCCCAUAGUUGCUAGAAGUGGUUAGUGUCUAACAAUCUCAUUUUAAAGAAGCGGAUACAAAAACAUACUUGAAAUAAUCACAGCAAAAAGAGGAAAUAAUUGGAAACAAGGACAUUAAACACCUUUCAUGGUUUCCAUUUUAUCCGGAUAGAUCUACAGGCUCAAGCUUUCUCGUAUUUCAGGGUAGGGUAGGCAUUUUAGACAAACACAAAGAAGUGGAGUAUAUCUAUCAACUGCAGCUUAGCACGGGUGUGAUUUUAGAACAUGAUACACAAACUAGAUUAUAUGCAUCAAAAAUAUGCGGAUUUGCUGCAGUCUUCCAGCUUGUGAUAUAUUUCUAGUGCUGCCUAUGGUGCAAUUUCCACCCCUUGUCUCAGUGCACAGAAUUAAGUAAAUAAAGUCUUUGCUGUGUUGAAAACGAGCACUUUAGAAAAUCUUUAUUCAGGGCAAUCAAAUGAUUGCAAGUAUAAUGCUAUCAAGGAAGGUAAAAGGAGCUAUCUACCCAGGACUCUAACUGCUUAGCUUAUAUUCUUGUAUAGAUCUUGAUACAGGCUUGCACACUGAAGAGAAGCAAUAGUUCCCCAUCCUCCCCCCCAAAAAAAAAGUUUGAAAGAGGACUUGCUGUUUAUGAUAUGUACACUUUUGCUUCUAGUAACCAGAUUCUGUAGGAGGUUGCUUUAAAAACAACAACACAAUCUACCCAACCUGUUAAAAUGAUUCUGAUGCAACAAUCUCAGUCCACUAAACCAUGGUUCAUUAAAUGGAUUCAGGACAAGCAUUUGUGGCCAUGUGUUCUUUCCCUGUGGAGGCUGAUCCAUUAGGGCAAGUGGGACGCUGCCCCAAUCAGUCUGCCCUCAGCCAGCCUCCACCUUACUUCCAAACAAUCUACUGUGUGGCACUGGCUGUCAACCUCCACCCUUAGUGAAGAACUCAGCAAGGAGUUGGGGCCAAAACCAUAAAUAGUUGGCUGACUACAGUUGAUUCUGGCUCCGCCAGCCAUUUGCUCUGACUCCCCCUACUGCUUGCCUCCCUGCCUUACACCCUACCAGUCCCAAAGGGCACCAACAUCCAUUCUUUCCUCUCUCCUCUCAUGUGUCUUAAUGCAAGCAUUUCCUGUUAUGCCUGAGUGGAAGGAAAACUAUGGUUUUAGCUCUGACUAGAAACUAGGAUUGCAAACUAGGAUGAAAAUAUGGUUUGCAGUCCUGGUUUGUAGAUAACUUUACCCAGAGUUUCCUGGUUGAGACAUACAGUAUUGGGAAAUGUUGGUUUAUCCAACUCCAAAAGUAUUGUACUAAGCUAUGUUAAGGGAAAGGAGUGCACGGCUAAUAUUGUUAUGUCUGAACUAGGCCAGUGAUACUAAGGAAGUAGCAGGCCUCUUUCAGCUCACCUUCAACUCUUUUAAUACUUUUAAUACUUUUUAAUACUGUCUGUAUGCAGUAUUAGGACUUAUCAAGGCAGUGUGCCUCAUGCUGCGCUUGGAAAAAGCAUGAGUAUAAGAAAUGACACUGGUCUAGGUUUUCAAAAGCAGUCUGGAGUACUUGCAGGCACUGACAUAUAAAGGUGAAAUGGCAGGGGGCCGGGUAGCAUGUGCUGCAAGCCAGAUUCAUUCACUUUAGAGCUUUCAGGAGUCUUCUAUAUGUCAGCCCAUAUAUUAAUCCCGUUCCAUUAAUACAUCACCAGUAGAAAGCAAGGGGCAAAUAAGGUGGCCCCUGCCAAUGAAUCUGUGGUUGCCUGCACAGUUCAAGGAACACUCUGUUUCCACCUCAUCAGAAGUGGUGCCAUCAAUACACGAAAAAAAUGUCAACAAGAUUCCUCCUUUAAUUAACAGAUUCUCAGAACACAAAAGCUAUUACCAGUAAGCAGUUAUCUGUGUCUGAUGAAAAUUUUGACACAAAAUGUAAAGAUGCAGCUUUAAACCCAAAGAAUAAGAAUUCCUAAAUGGUUCUUGUUGCCUCCCAUUGCUUACGAAAUAUUUAGCCAUUACUGUUUCCAGGAACUCAGAUUUCCAGUAUCUCUUCUCCCGCCUUCUCCAGAUUUUUCAACAUUGCUUGUGAUUAGCUUUGCUGUACACUUGCCAAAAUGAAUAUUCUCUGUUGCUUUAGAGAAGCUGAGUGGUGUCAAAGUUCAGUUGCUGUUCUUCUGCAAAGGCCUCUUCCUGCCAAAUAGGAUUCCUCUGAGUUCCUCUGCCUUUAGAAAAAAAUAAAUUACAGGCCAGAUUCUGAAUCAGCGUGCAGUUGCCCUUAGACUGGACAGAUGUGCACAGAAGCCGUGAAAGGAACAUUCAUAAAGAUGAACUAUUAGAACCAAUCCCUUCUACCUAAAGUCAAAUUGAAGUGCUCUAUUUUGCAUAAUACUCUGAUUUGUGGUUUGCUAAUGAGUGUUUGCUUAACUGUGUGGUUUUCAAGCUGUAGCCCAGAGAACCCUGGGGUUCCUCUGAAGCUUAUUAGGACUGCCUCAGUGUGAAGGUCUGAAACUGACUGCAUGCUUCCCUGAAAGAAAGAUCCCUCUACAGUGCCAGCCACAGUAGGUGUCCUGGAGGGCAUACCUGGUUCAUGUAGGGUGACUAUGAAGCAUAGCAGGAUGGCCAGCACUCCACGCAAGAAUCAUAGAAUUGUAGAGUUGGGAUCUCAAGGGUCAUCUAGUCCAACCUCCUGCAAUGCAGGAAUCACAACUAGAGCAUCCAUGACAGAUGGCAAAUCCACAUGAACAGACCUAUAAAUUAAAACAGAACAUUUUGCAUCCUGCAGCAAGUUCCACAGUACACAAGCCAAUGCAAAGGAGUCCCCGAAGGUAGAAAUUUAGAAGUGUGCAUAGGAUUUUGAUAAGUCUCAAACUGAAGCAGAAUGCUCUGGACAGAUAUUGGGCUUGUCCCAGUUAUAGCAAGAACUUUUCGGAGUAGUCCAAGAUUGAAGUGGGGACCUCCAAAUCGAUUUGAAAUUAUUCUGAGAUAAAAUGAACUUUAUAAAGGUGCCCAACACACGCACAAAAAUACCUCAUCCCAUUUUAUGUAAUUUGGAAGGUUUUACCUACUUAGGUUAUACCUACUUAGAAGGGGUGCUAUACCAGAAAAUCCCAUCCAAUUAUGUAAAAAAUGUUACAUUUUUUGUUAAAAAAAUCCCACAAUAGCAAAUGAGGGAGGCAUGAAGCUUCAUUUUUCUGAAUCAGGAUUUAGAAUCACAACUGAAUCAAAUCGGGCAGCCUGUGAAGUCAUUUGGACUGAACUGAGUUGUUUUUAAAAGUGCCAAAUUGGGGUGAGUAACAAAUCUGGUGGUCAGUGAACACCCAUUGAAAGCUAAUAGCUUAGCUAUUCAGCUCUGGACAAACCAGUGCCCUGCAAUGUGAAUAUUUUAGAUUGAUGAAUACAUUUUACGAAGGAAAAAAGAAGGUGGCACUUGCAGGUUGCUUCUGUAUUUUGCUAACUAUAGUCCUACAUCCACAAGACUGUUUGGAAACCCAGAUGUAUGUUUUGGAGUAAGCGGAGACAGUUUUAUUGACUGCCUCAAACCAAUGACCAGGUUUCCACAGACACCCCCAAAAACCUGCUCCCCGUGGAUGUUGCUGUAUGUUUUAAAGAUUUCUGGGUUGGAGAGGAAGCAUUUUAUCAGAAAAUUGUGUGCAGAAACGAGAAUAUGACAAGUGAAUAAGGAUUCACAGGUUAGAUAGUGAUGGGUCAAAUGUUUUUGACUUUGGAGAUUGGCAGCAUGCCAUGAUAAACAUCUGCAAUAUUAAUGGGCAACAGUUUCUCAAGUAUUUUCACAAGUGAGCUGCCAUUAGUAAAUAAAUAAAAACCUUGCAAAACUAACAGUAUUUUAACAAAGGGAAAAAAUGGUUGGAUAGACUUUAGGCAGGUCAAGACCCGUAUGCUCAUAUCAUAUCCGUAGUUCACUCUGAUUCCUUCUGCUCAUUCUUUGGGUUGCAAAGGGAAACCAAGACCCAGUGAAAUUAAUUGGUAAGGCUAACUUAGGGCCACUAAGUUCAAUGGGUUUACCCUGAGUAGAACUUAGUGAGGUACGGUCCAUCAUGUUUGUUUUAAAGAAUUGGUUUAUUUUGUCUGCCACAAAUACAUUAUUUUAUUAUACUCUUCUCUCAUUUGAUGGGAAUGGAAGGGGGGAAAUAUGUUUUCUCACUGGUUAUGCCAUCUUAGUAUAUCUAAUCAAAUUUAAUUAUUCAUAAUCUGCCUUUGGCCCAAUUCAAAAUUUUAAGUGCCCAUCAAAGUAUUUGUUAUUAAAGGAAAUGUGAGUUAAUUUGCAACUCAAUGUGCUACCAUUCAUAAAAAAACCCUCAACAUUUGCAAGCACCUGUAAUGGGGCUGUGGCAUUGUUCACUGUUCGUGUGUGUUCUGGUGUAUGAGCAUAGGGCUGUUCCACAUAAGGGGGAAUCCUGGAUCCACAUUCAUUCAAUACGUGGGAGGGUUUGUACUUUCAAUAUGAGAAAGAUUGUGUGACUGUCUUCUCUUUUACAGUAAGGUCCUUCUUUUAUCCCAGGGUUUUCUGUGCAAGCUAUAAUUAAAAUCAUUUGUUUUUAAUUAGUUUAGGAUGUUAACUGUAUUCAUUGUUUCCUACAGCCAAAGGAAGUCUUGAAGUGACUUUAAAAAAAAUUAUUGUUGUUUAGUCAUUUAGUCAUGUCCGACUCUUCGUGACCCCAUGGACCAGAGCACUCCAGGCACUCCUGUCUUCCACUGCCUCCCGCAGUUUGGUCAAACACAUGUUGGUAGCUGCUAGAACACUGUCCAACCAUCUCGUCCUCUGUCGUCCCCUUCUCCUUGUGCCCUCCAUCUUUCCCAACAUCAGGGUCUUUUCCAGGGAGUCUUCUCUUCUCAUGAGGUGGCCAAAGAAUUGGAGCCUCAGCUUCAGGAUCUGCUGUCCUUCCAGUGAGCACUCAGGGCUGAUUUCCUUAAGAAUGGAUAGGUUUGAUCUUCUUGCAGUCCAUGGGGCUCUCAAGAGUUUCCUUUAGCACCAUAAUUCAAAAGCAUCAGUUCUUCAGUGAUCAGCCUUCUUUAUGGUCCAGCUCUCACUUCCAUACAUCACUACUGGGAAAACCAUAGCUUUAACUAUAUGGACCUUUAUUAAAAAAAUAAAAAUACCAAAAUCCAAUAUAUAGAAAUGCACCCCAAAACAAUACAAGUAUACCAAAAGUGUUUGUUCAAAACAUCAUUUAAAAACUAAAAUAUCCACCCAUCCAACACAAGAGCAUAUGGUUUAAAACUGUAACAACUGGAAGAACAAGCAAAUAGUAGGUCCUCUGUGUGGACAAGACAGAGAAAUGCUGUUGGGUGACAAGAGAAGGCGGAACUGCUCAACACUUCAGCAGCCAGGCUGGUUCCUUUCAUGUAAAUUGAUUAGAAGAUUGCCUGCACAUUUUACUUCAUAAUUUUCUGUCUAGGAGGUUCAGAUGCCUACUUAAAAAGAAAAAAAUGAAUCCUGAGAUUGAACAUCAUAGGCAGCAGGCUGGUUAUGGCCCUUCCCUUAAGCCAUUGGGUCUCAAACUAUGUUUUACUGAAGUGUUGGUUUUAAAUAAAUAAAUAAAGCUUGCAUGAAGCUUUUUACACAGGGAAGCAUUUAAAAAUGUCAUCUCCCACCUUCAUCCUGAAGUGAUAUAUCUGAUUCUACCACCUUAGGAUUCUGCCACCCCCUUCCUGCUGCAUGUGUAGGCCUUGCCUGUAUCAUAUCUAACACCAGAUUAUCACCAGGUUGCUAUUUGUCAACUCUGUGUUAACAGGAAUGCUUACAGUUGUUACUUUCAGUGGUACAGCAUUAACAUGAAGGGACAUGUUGAAAAACUAUUAUCUUAUUGCUUAGUAACAUCAAAAACCUCCCGACCUGCACUGUUUCAUUUGUUCUUUUUAUCUUCUUUUCAUUUCUGAGCCAAAUUUUCACAGAGGCUAACCCACCUUUAGUUACUUGCCUCCAACUUGAAUAUGGGAACAGAGUCAAAAAAACAUUUUGUCAUGCUAAAUAAUUUGCUGUUGGACUCUGCCAAAACGUCUAGCUUUAAUCUCCAGAUGGAGACAUCAGGGUAAGCCAGGGCAAAUGACAUGAAUUUCCUCCUGCAUUCUAGUUCUAUCAUAAACAGCCAUUUGACAGGUGAUAACUUUCGGCUGAGAACACCUGAUUGUUAACAGCGUCAGUGAAAGCUGGUUAGUCACACAAGUCUGGCUUCACUUUGCAAUACCUAGUGGAAUUUUUCUCGUCAUUUUUGUUUCGAUUUUGGCAGUCUGGGAAUUAAAGAUCCUCAGGGGAUCUGAUGCGUUUUUUGAUUGUAAUAUCAAUGGCGGUCCAUGAGAAAAAAAUGAACUGCUAUAUCACAUAAGUUGAUAGGUGAAACACAGUUAUUAAGACUUAUAAUCAUAGCAGCAUCAAUUUACAUUGCCUUUUUCAGGGUAGCAUAAAAGGAGAGGGAGUGGAUCCCUGCCCCACUGAGAUUAAAAUGUAAAAUUUAUUCAGGAGGAGACAACAGGGGAAAGGGAGGGUGACAGAGGAAAGUGUAACUGGGAAAAUUUGUAUAAAUGCAUUUACACACACUUAAGUUUGAGUAGGGAAUGAAGGCUAAGUGGUGGAGCCAAAGGCUUCAUAAAAUUGUUAAUGCCCAGUUUAGGCUGAUUCGCCAGCUGUGGCCAUUUCUGGACAGGUCACUUCACGCUCUAGUUAACUCCAUUCUGGACACUGUAGUGUGCUGUGUGAGGGACUGCCCUGCCAGGAUCCAUCCUACUCUCGAGUAGGACCUUGGCAGAGACACAUGCCCAACUGGCAUGUUCUCUCCCUCCUGGUCAAUCGUUUGGGAGCUUCAAAAGCUUUCUUCUGCCCAAACAUCACAGUGAAUGAUGCCAACAGACGUCAGCACACUCAGGGAUCCACAAAGUGUUUGCAGUUUGCGUAACAGAACUCAGCAUUUUGGCUAAUCUACUUUAUUUACAUAUAAACACACACACUGCACUGCAACAUGGCUCCCUGUCUCUCUAGCAUCAGACAGCAAAGAGAAAGAACAAAGAACAAUAGUCCCACUUCACGGAACACAGCAAUACAAAACAUCCUGUCUCCGUCACUUCCCACUCUUUGGCGUCAAAACAUACACCGUCAGGUGUAAGACAACAACCCCAUGACUGCAGACACAGGGAAUGAAUCUCCAACAUGCCUUUGGACAGUCCAGAGGCUGCCACUACUGUAGAAUGUGGCUGGUAAGUGUGGCAGUCCAAUUGGACCAUGUGUCACCAGCCCUGAAAGCGCUGCACUGGCUGCCAAUGAACUACCAGAGCCAAUUCAAGGUACUAGCAUACAAGGCCCUAAAUGGCUUGGGACUCCAAGUACCUAAACUUUCCCCAUAUCAACCAUAUCAGACCCUAUGAUUGGCAGGUGAGGUCUUGCUGGUGGUGUUGCCACUGGGGGCUGCCUGGCUGGUGCUGACCUGUGACAGGGCACCACGUCUAGGGUUACCCCAGCUUGAGGCUGGCACCUCACCCAGCCUCAUCCGUAGUCCGGGCCUGUUGCCGUCCUGGACUCACAUUAGGGAAGAAGGGUGGGAUAUACAUUUAAUUAAUUAAUAAAAGUGUUUGUUUUGAUGAGUGAUUUGAAGGAAAGAGACUUUAACAGCUAUAGAGAUAAAAUAAGUGUAAUGCUCUGGCAAACCCCACCGAUCAAUUUCACAAAGCUAUUUGCACCUUGGGAAAGAGGUGCUUGUUAUUCUGUUGCUUUCACAGCAAGUGGUAUGAGCAGAAUUAAAGGUGCACCAUCUGAUUUUGGAACACAGCUUCUUUUACCAUAAUGUAAUGUUUCAGAAUUUUAAAACUGUGAAUU
This 7800-nucleotide long non-coding RNA is filed under the name Podarcis lilfordi (Lilford's wall lizard). The record is from RNAcentral. Lineage: Eukaryota; Metazoa; Chordata; Lepidosauria; Squamata; Lacertidae.